UGGGGAAUUUUGGACAAUGGGGGCAACCCUGAUCCAGCCAUGCCGCGUGUGUGAAGAAGGCCUUCGGGUUGUAAAGCACUUUCGGCCGGAACGAAAUCGCGCGACUUAACACGUCGUGUGGAUGACGGUACCGGAAGAAGAAGCACCGGCUAACUACGUGCCAGCAGCCGCGGUAAUACGUAGGGUGCGAGCGUUAAUCGGAAUUACUGGGCGUAAAGGGUGCGCAGGCGGCGUCGCAAGUCAGGCGUGAAAUCCCCGGGCUUAACCUGGGAAUGGCGCUUGAAACUACGAUGCUGGAGUAUGGCAGAGGGAGGUGGAAUUCCACGUGUAGCGGUGAAAUGCGUAGAGAUGUGGAGGAACACCGAUGGCGAAGGCAGCCUCCUGGGCCAAUACUGACGCUCAUGCACGAAAGCGUGGGGAGCAAACAGG
Molecule: ribosomal RNA, 429 nt
Filed under: uncultured bacterium
Lineage: Bacteria
Description: bacterial SSU rRNA
Rfam family: Bacterial small subunit ribosomal RNA
Source: RNAcentral